Molecule: small RNA, 2965 nt
Filed under: Pongo abelii (Sumatran orangutan)
Lineage: Eukaryota; Metazoa; Chordata; Mammalia; Primates; Hominidae
Description: processed transcript
Source: RNAcentral
AAAGUGCCAGGAACCCAUAUCGCAUGCAAGCAUGUGUGUUCAAAUUAGCCUUCUCCAGGGAGGAAUUCACAGCGCCGGCAAUACGCGCAGAGAUGUUCUUUUGCACUUUUGCAUUUUAAAACAUGCAUCGCUUAUGAGCGCAGCAUUUUCAAGCCUUUUCUUGAGAUCAGCUCGUUCAGUUACAUGUGCUUUUGAAGAUGACCAUUUGUGAAACCGUCAACCACUGGCAAAGUGAAGAAAAAUGAAGAUUUCGGCCUGGUUGAUGUGUGCUCGGGGAAGGGAUUUGCGCAAGCAGGUAGCGCCGCUGCUGAAGAGUUUCCAAGGAGAGAUUGAUGCACUGAGUAAAAGAAGCAAGGAAGCUGAAGCAGCUUUCUUGAAUGUCUACAAAAGAUUGAUUGACGUCCCAGAUCCCGUACCAGCUUUGGAUCUCGGACAGCAACUCCAGCUCAAAGUGCAGCGCCUGCACGAUAUUGAAACAGAGAACCAGAAACUUAGGGAAACUCUGGAAGAAUACAACAAGGAAUUUGCUGAAGUGAAAAAUCAAGAGGUUACGAUAAAAGCACUUAAAGAGAAAAUCCGAGAAUAUGAACAGACACUGAAGAACCAAGCCGAAACCAUAGCUCUUGAGAAGGAACAGAAGUUACAGAAUGACUUUGCAGAAAAGGAGAGAAAGCUGCAGGAGACACAGAUGUCCACCACCUCAAAGCUGGAGGAAGCUGAGCAUAAGGUUCAGAGCCUACAAACAGCCCUGGAAAAAACUCGAACAGAAUUAUUUGACCUGAAAACCAAAUACGAUGAAGAAACUACUGCAAAGGCCGACGAGAUUGAAAUGAUCAUGACGGACCUUGAAAGGGCAAACCAGAGGGCAGAGGUGGCUCAGAGAGAGGCGGAGACCUUAAGGGAACAGCUCUCAUCGGCCAAUCACUCCCUCCAGCUGGCCUCACAGAUCCAGAAGGCACCAGACGUGGAGCAGGCCAUAGAGGUGCUGACCCGCUCCAGCCUAGAAGUUGAGUUGGCCGCCAAGGAGCGGGAGAUCGCACAGCUGGUGGAGGACGUGCAGAGACUCCAGGCCAGCCUCACCAAGCUGCGGGAGAAUUCGGCCAGCCAGAUCUCGCAGCUUGAGCAGCAGCUGAGCGCCAAAAACAGCACGCUCAAACAACUGGAAGAAAAACUCAAAGGCCAGGCUGACUAUGAAGAGGUGAAGAAAGAGCUGAACAUUCUGAAGUCCAUGGAGUUUGCACCGUCCGAGGGCGCUGGGACACAGGAUGCGGCCAAGCCCCUGGAGGUGCUGUUGCUGGAGAAGAACCGCUCGCUGCAGUCCGAGAACGCCGCGCUGCGCAUCUCCAACAGCGACCUGAGCGGACGCUGUGCGGAGCUGCAGGUCCGUGUCACUGAGGCUGUGGCCACAGCCACUGAGCAGAGAGAGCUGAUCGCCCGCCUGGAGCAGGACCUGAGCAUCAUUCAGUCCAUCCAGCGGCCCGAUGCUGAGGGUGCCGCCGAGCACCGCCUGGAGAAGAUCCCGGAGCCCAUCAAAGAGGCCACUGCCCUAUUCUACGGACCUACAGCACCAGCCAGCGGUGCCCUGCCAGAGGGCCAAGUGGAUUCACUGCUUUCCAUCAUCUCCAGCCAGAGGGAGCGCUUCCGUGCCCGGAACCAAGAGCUCGAGGCCGAGAACCGCCUGGCCCAGCACACCCUCCAGGCCCUGCAGAGUGAGCUGGACAGCCUGCGCGCCGACAACAUCAAGCUAUUUGAGAAGAUCAAGUUCCUGCAGAGCUACCCUGGCCGGGGCAGCGGCAGUGAUGACACGGAGCUGCGGUACUCGUCCCAGUACGAGGAGCGCCUGGACCCCUUCUCCUCCUUCAGCAAGCGGGAGCGGCAGAGGAAGUACCUGAGCCUGAGUCCCUGGGACAAGGCCACCCUCAGCAUGGGGCGUCUGGUUCUCUCCAACAAGAUGGCGCGCACCAUCGGCUUCUUCUACACACUGUUCCUGCACUGCCUGGUCUUCCUGGUGCUCUACAAGCUGGCAUGGAGCGAGAGCAUGGAGAGGGACUGUGCCACCUUCUGUGCCAAGAAGUUCGCCGACCACCUGCACAAGUUCCACGAGAAUGACAACGGGGCGGCGGCUGGUGACUUGUGGCAGUGAUACCCCGGGGCCUCCCCCGUGACAGUGUUGGCUGUACCUCCACCCCGACUGCUCAGUGCAUCUAAUCACUUAGACUCCCCUGAAGAAUCCCCCAUGGAAACUGCCCUUAUCUGCUGUCCAGCAGCUGCCAGAGGCCCCAGGUCCCCUUGGGUCCCCUUGAAAGAAUGUCUCGGUCACAUCAGGCCCGCUAGGACCAGAGAGCCAGCCCCCAAUGCCCGGCCAGGCUAAGCCGCAGAGACCCUCUCAGCCCCCACCUCAGGCUAGGGCUCUGCCCGCAGCCUGACCUCUAGCCCUGGUGGCAGAGGUCCCUCAGCUGCGAGGCUGAUUGGGUGACCACCCAUUCCAGCUGCGGUUAAUCCAGCUUGGGCCUGUCUGCACUGCGAUCCUCUUGGGCUCUCCUAGGAUCCCCCCAUGCCCCGUAAGAGGUGGAAGGCGCUUCCUUCCAGGACAGCAGGCUUUGAGUCCAGCACCCCCAGCCUGCCUUUGCCACCGGCCCCACCCUGCAGAGUAUAUGAGGCUUGACAGAGUCUGCCUCCUCCCCCACUGCACCCCAAGAGAGAGAGCCCCAGCCAGCAGAACAGUUUCUAUUACUCGCUCCCUGCCCCCAGACCCACGUGAUUUCUGCUGUCUUCUUUAGCAAGAUAUUCUGGUUUCUAGAUAAGGAAGAGUCUCUAAUGAGCCCCGGAGCCCCAGUCUCUUCAGACUCAUGGAUUGGUCUGAGGGGUCUGAACGUCUCCUAGCCAAUCAGAACUGGCUGUGGACCACCCUAGCACGGCCACCUCUCAGGGCCACUGGCAGGCCUUCCUGAGUUAGAUUUGUAGU